RNAcentral lists this unclassified non-coding RNA (513 nucleotides) under Hevea brasiliensis (rubber tree). Lineage: Eukaryota; Viridiplantae; Streptophyta; Magnoliopsida; Malpighiales; Euphorbiaceae. The record is from RNAcentral.
GACCAACGUUCAGCCAUAUCUUCCACAAACCAUGAUAACAUCCAUUAACGUUGGCAACGAAAUCCUCUCCAGCGGUGACAACACCUUAAUCCCCAACCUCCUCCCUGCCAUGCAAGCCCUCCAACAAGCCUUGACAACCCUCAACCUGGCCGACCAAGUAAACAUCUCCACCGCACAUUCGCUUGCCAUCCUAGCAGACUCCUACCCUCCCUCCUCAGCCACUUUCCGACAAGAUCUCGCCCAAUUCAUCCAACCCAUCCUCAACUUUCACUCACAAACCAACACCCCAUUCCUCAUAAACUCAUACCCAUUCUUCGCCUACGAAGCAAGCCCGAGCACUAUUUCACUACCAUAUGUGCUCUUCGAGCCCAAUUCAGGCGUGACAGAUCCAAACACGAACCUGACCUAUGACAAUAUGUUGUACGCACAGAUCGACUCAGUGUAUGCUGCGAUGAAAGCAAUGGGGUAUACUGACGUUGUCGUGAGGGUGUCGGAAACCGGCUGGCCAUCAAA